GGAGUGGAUUGGGAAGGAUUUGGGGUCCCCUAGGAAUGGUUUUGAGCCUUGGGCUGGAUUGAAGAGGAUUUGGAAUCUCCAGGGAUGUUGAGGAAUUUGAGGUGGAUCAGGGAGGAUGUGGGGGUUAGAGUGGAGAAUUGAGGGAUUUGGUGUGUGGGAAUGAGACAAGGUGCACAGGUGAGGAUUUGGGGAUGUCAGAUUCCUUGGGAUUUGGGGGUGCAGUGGGGGGGACUAGAGUAUCAGGGAGCUCCAGUAGGGGGAAUGUGGUGUCUGUCCAUUUCAGUGCACCUAAAAAACGAGGCACUGGGGGUGCAGGGGUAUCAGCAGGGCCCCACAGUGCCCACCUUGCUGUAGUUAAUGGGUGGCUGAGCGGUGGCAGCUGCCCCGGGUGGCCGAGCACCAGGGGUCACAACAUGAAUCUCGGUGCAGGUCAGGCGCUCACUGUCACUGGGGUACCUGGAGACACAGAGGAACAGUGAGGUGCCACCGUGGGGGUCUCCAACCUCCUUUGGAGGGGGGCCUAUGGUGAGGUUAUUUGAGGGCGGAGUCCAAGAGAGUGGGUCUGGAGUUUGGGAGGGACUGAGAGUUGGGGAUCCCAUGGGAGAUAUCUGGGGGUCCUGCUGUGGUUUGGGUGAGCCCACAGGGUGUGGGAGUGUUGAGGGAUUGUGGGACCACAGGGGAUUAGAUCUGUCAUCCCCGUGGGUCAGAUAUUGGGGUACCAUAUUUGUGGGUUUGGGUGUUCAUUCUACUUGGUAUGUGGGUGCUUUAUGGGGUGUGGGGCAUGUUGAUGGCCUGGAGGGCUGCAGCGUGUCUGAGGGCUGAGAUUUUGUGUCUGGAUUUACCCCUCAAUGCAGAAUUCAAUUUUCUUGAAAUUUGCUGUAUUAUGGACAGAGUUUUGGUUUCCGUGGUGGGCUUUGGUGGGGGUUAUAGGGGGCCUUGAGUCAUGCCCAAGGAGUUCUAUAGGGAAUCUAUAGGGAAUCAAAGGGCAGGAAGGUACACCUGGGAGGAUCUGUAUGGGAUAGAAGGGCAGGCAGAGGACACUGGGGGGAUGUAUAGGGGGUGGGAGACAUUUAACCCCUUCCUCAUCACAGCUCUCAUCUCUCUGUAUUCAGAGGCUGCAGGCAUCGACAAUGAAGAAGACUCCAAGGCCGAAGACGAGUGCAGCAACCAAGCCCCUCACCAGUGCUAUCACCAGAUUUACAUGGGACCACUCCUCAGCACCCGUGGGGUCCGUGUAUUUGGUUGUUCCUGUUGCCAGCCACAACCCCCAUACAGACUGAAUCUAGAGACAGAGUCACCAGUCCACGGCAGGGGGUGCACAAAAUGGGGAGGCUCAGACCCACCUCGGGUUGCGGAUGUGGGUGUCACCUCCAGCAUCACGCUGUUCCCAAGGGGAGAGGACAUUAAGGGCAAGUAGCCCUUGAUGAGGCACCCGGUACUGGCACUGAUACGUACCUGUGUGUUCCCGCAUUGUGCUAACAAAGGAGAACUCGGCCGUAUUCUGCACCUGGUGCUUGUACAUGCAGAAGAUGGAUCAUUCUUCCUGGC
This is a long non-coding RNA of Numida meleagris (helmeted guineafowl), 1548 nucleotides long. RefSeq lists it as uncharacterized. The transcript has 3 exons. Lineage: Eukaryota; Metazoa; Chordata; Aves; Galliformes; Numididae. The record is from RefSeq and is a predicted model, not a curated record.